AGUGAACGCUGGCGGUAGGCCUAACACAUGCAAGUCGAACGGCAGCACAGUAAGAGCUUGCUCUUACGGGUGGCGAGUGGCGGACGGGUGAGGAAUACACCGGAAUCUACUUUUUCGUGGGGGAUAACGUAGGGAAACUUACGCUAAUACCGCAUACGACCUACGGGUGAAAGCAGGGGAUCUUCGGACCUUGCGCGAUUGAAUGAGCCGAUGUCGGAUUAGAUGGUUGGCGGGGUAAAGGCCCACCAAGGCGGCGAUCCGUAGCUGGUCUGAGAGGAUGGUCGGCCACACUGGAACUGGGACAGGGUCCAGACUCCUACGGGAGGCAGCAGUGGGGAAUAUUGGACAAUGGGCGCAAGCCUGAUCCAGCCAUACCGCGUGGGUGAAGAAGGCCUUCGGGUUGUAAAGCCCUUUUGUUGGGAAAGAAAAGCAGCAGGUUAAUACCCCGCUGUUCUGACGGUACCCAAAGAAUAAGCACCGGCUAACUUCGUG
RNAcentral lists this ribosomal RNA (492 nucleotides) under uncultured bacterium. RNAcentral's name for it is "partial 16S ribosomal RNA". It matches the Rfam family "Bacterial small subunit ribosomal RNA", at positions 29 to 507 of the family's 1533-position model. The record is from RNAcentral.